Small nuclear RNA from Dipodomys ordii (Ord's kangaroo rat), 106 nucleotides. Lineage: Eukaryota; Metazoa; Chordata; Mammalia; Rodentia; Heteromyidae. The record is from Ensembl.
GUGCUUGAUGCAGCAUCACAUAUACUAAAAUUGGAGCAAUACAGAGCAGAUUAGUAUGGCCCUGUGUGAAGCUAACACACAAAUUUGUGAAGCAUUCUAAAUUUUU